Molecule: ribosomal RNA, 200 nt
Filed under: uncultured bacterium
Lineage: Bacteria
Description: partial 16S ribosomal RNA
Rfam family: Bacterial small subunit ribosomal RNA
Source: RNAcentral
ACGCUCGACACCUACGGGAGCAGCAGUGGGGAAUAUUGGGCAAUGGGCGCAAGCCUGACCCAGCAACGCCGCGUGAAGGAAGAAGGCCCUCGGGUUGUAAACUUCUUUUAACAGGGACGAAGCAAGUGACGGUACCUGUUGAAUAAGCCACGGCUAACUACGUGCCGGCAGCCGCGGUAAUCUGAGCGGGCUGGCAAGGC